Molecule: ribosomal RNA, 324 nt
Filed under: uncultured eukaryote
Lineage: Eukaryota
Description: partial 18S ribosomal RNA
Rfam family: Eukaryotic small subunit ribosomal RNA
Source: RNAcentral
CCCUUAGAUGUUCUGGGCUGCACGCGCGCUACACUGAUGCGCUCAACGAGUUUACGAACUUGCCCGGAAGGGUUGGUUAAUCUUUUUAAAACGCAUCGUGAUGGGGAUAGAUUAUUGCAAUUAUUAAUCUUCAACGAGGAAUUCCUAGUAAGCGCGAGUCAUCAGCUCGCACUGAUUACGUCCCUGCCCUUUGUACACACCGCCCGUCGCUCCUACCGAUUGAAUGUUCCGGUGAGCUCUUCGGACUGCGCGGUCUGCAGUUUCUGCGUUCCGUGCGGAAAGUUGCGCAAACCUUAACAUUUAGAGGAAGGAGAAGUCGUAACA